This 518-nucleotide ribosomal RNA is filed under the name uncultured bacterium. RNAcentral's name for it is "bacterial SSU rRNA". It matches the Rfam family "Bacterial small subunit ribosomal RNA", at positions 28 to 532 of the family's 1533-position model. The record is from RNAcentral.
GAUGAACGCUAGCGACAGGCCUAACACAUGCAAGUCGAGGGGCAUCGGGGCGUAGCAAUACGCUGCCGGCGACCGGCGGAUGGGUGAGUAACGCGUAUGCAACCUACCUUCAGCAGGGGGAUAGCCCGUUGAAAGACGGAUUAAUACCCCAUAACACAGGGGCUCCGCAUGGAGAUUAUUGUUAAAGGGAUGCUUCCUUCGGGGAGUAUUCCGGCUGCAGAUGGGCAUGCGUUCCAUUAGGUAGUUGGUUGAGGUAACGGCUCACCAAGCCUACGAUGGAUAGGGGAACUGAGAGGUUGGUCCCCCACACUGGUACUGAGACACGGACCAGACUCCUACGGGAGGCAGCAGUGAGGAAUCUUGGUCAAUGGACGGAAGUCUGAACCAGCCAUGUCGCGUGAAGGAGGACGGCCCUAAGGGUUGUAAACUUCUUUUGCAGGGGGAAUAAAAGUAUUCCACGAGAUGGGAGUAAUUCGCAAUAACGCUCGCGAAAUUAAGGAAUCGGCGUAACUUACCCG